UUAUUCUCUUCUUAUGACAAUCAAAAGCAUGAUAGGCAACCAGCUAAUCCAUCUCAGUAUAAUCUCAAGUGCAACUCUAACAUUGUUAGAUUUGCAAACAAUUUUGUCUUCUAUUCUGACUAUAUAAAAGUUGCAUACAAAAUCAUUACUCAAUACUUUACCCAAAAAAAAAAAAUCAUUACUCAAAACACUUCCCACCA
RNAcentral lists this long non-coding RNA (200 nucleotides) under Elaeis guineensis (African oil palm). RNAcentral describes it as "long non-coding RNA (EGUI_LNC012831)". Lineage: Eukaryota; Viridiplantae; Streptophyta; Magnoliopsida; Arecales; Arecaceae. The record is from RNAcentral.